RNAcentral lists this ribosomal RNA (743 nucleotides) under Xanthomonas citri pv. citri. Its description in RNAcentral is "partial 23S ribosomal RNA". It matches the Rfam family "Bacterial large subunit ribosomal RNA", at positions 475 to 1216 of the family's 2925-position model. Lineage: Bacteria; Pseudomonadati; Pseudomonadota; Gammaproteobacteria; Lysobacterales; Lysobacteraceae. The record is from RNAcentral.
CCUGACCGACCGAUAGUGAACCAGUACCGUGAGGGAAAGGCGAAAAGAACCCCGGCGAGGGGAGUGAAAAAGAACCUGAAACCGUGUACGUACAAGCAGUGGGAGCACAGAGCAAUCUGUGUGACUGCGUACCUUUUGUAUAAUGGGUCAGCGACUUAUAUUCUGUAGCAAGGUUAACCGAAUAGGGGAGCCGAAGGGAAACCGAGUCUUAACUGGGCGUUAAGUUGCAGGGUAUAGACCCGAAACCCGGUGAUCUAGCCAUGGGCAGGUUGAAGGUUGGGUAACACUAACUGGAGGACCGAACCGACUAAUGUUGAAAAAUUAGCGGAUGACUUGUGGCUGGGGGUGAAAGGCCAAUCAAACUCCGUGAUAGCUGGUUCUCCCCGAAAUGCAUUUAGGUGCAGCGUCACGUGUUUCUUCCCGGAGGUAGAGCUACUGGAUGGACGAUGGGCCCUACAAGGCUACUGACUUCAGCCAAACUCCGAAUGCCGGGAAGUGAGAGCGUGGCAGUGAGACUGUGGGGGAUAAGCUUCAUAGUCGAGAGGGAAACAGCCCAGACCACCGGUUAAGGCCCCUAAGCGUGUGCUAAGUGGGAAAGGAUGUGGAGUUGCUGAGACAACCAGGAGGUUGGCUUAGAAGCAGCCACCCUUGAAAGAGUGCGUAAUAGCUCACUGGUCAAGUGAUUCCGCGCCGACAAUGUAGCGGGGCUCAAGUACACCGCCGAAAGCGUGGCAUUCAGUUUU